Molecule: small RNA, 28 nt
Filed under: Bombyx mori (domestic silkworm)
Lineage: Eukaryota; Metazoa; Arthropoda; Insecta; Lepidoptera; Bombycidae
Description: ovarian small RNA-27283
Source: RNAcentral
UCCCGAAGUAACCAUGCCCCGAGAGGAC